Molecule: ribosomal RNA, 460 nt
Filed under: uncultured bacterium
Lineage: Bacteria
Description: partial 16S ribosomal RNA
Rfam family: Bacterial small subunit ribosomal RNA
Source: RNAcentral
CCUACGGGCGGCAGCAGUGAGGAAUAUUGGUCAAUGGACGAGAGUCUGAACCAGCCAAGUCGCGUGAAGGAUGACUGCCCUAUGGGUUGUAAACCUCUUUUAUAUGGGAAUAAUACACGGUAUGCAUACACUCUUGUCUGUACCAUAUGAAUAAGGAUCGGCUAACUCCGUGCCAGCAGCCGCGGUAAUACGGAGGAUCCGAGCGUUAUCCGGAUUUAUUGGGUUUAAAGGGUGCGUAGGUGGCAUUUUAAGUCAGUUGUUAAAGUUUGCGGCUCAACCGUAAAAUUGCAAUUGAAACUGGCGGUCUUGAGUACAGUAGAGGUAGGCGGAAGACGUGGAGUAGCGGUGAAAUGCUUAGAUAUAACGAAGAACACCGAUUGCGAAGGCAGCUCACUGGACUGAGACUGACGCUGAUGCUCGAGAGUGUGGGUAUCGAACAGGAUUAGAUACCCUUGUAGUC